CCCCCUCCCGCGCCGGGAGCUCCAGGCGGCUCCCGUACGGCUCCCGGGGCCUUCCCCCCUCGGGGGGCUCGGCCCGCCCCUUUCGCGGGGCGCUGUGGGAAGGGCGGGGGCGGGGCCCGGGGGUCGAAGAGCCCCAGCCGGGGCUCGGGCAGCUCUCGCUGCCCCCGGGCUCCUCUGGCGCCGGGGCUCCCGUGUUCCCUCGGGCGGUCGCAGCUCUGGGGCUGUCUCAGCCCCCCGGGCAGGCGUGCUCUGGCGUUUAGAGAAGCGGAGGCGUUGCCUGAGCAGCGGAUCCGCCGCUCGAGGGCGAGGAGCUGGGCCGACAACGGGCCGCUGCAGACUCUGGUCAGGGUACGAGGCUGCUCCCUGGGGAGCCGGCGCAGGGGGCGCGGAGGGCAACUUCUGUUCCCGAGGUGGUGCCUACAGUACAGCUAUCUCUUCGAAGGCAGUUUGGUUUAGGUCAGAGAAUGUUUAGCCUGGACUGAAUCAGCCUCUGUUUCUGUUUCUGGAAAUCGUCGGUCCUGUGCAUCAAGCCCGGAAAAAAGGAAAUAUGAACCAAAGGACCUGGGGCCUGCAGGGCUAGGAAAAUAUUUGAGAAGAGGUUCAGUGGGGAAAUGACUGUUUGUCUGUGGGGCGUCCAGGCAAGCAACCCAGCUGCUAGAAAGCGGCGCUGUCCCCAGGGUGGCCUCGGCGGUCCCGUCGGAGUCGGGGGAACAAGGACAAGGCAGGGGGAAGCAUCUGGCCUGCCGUGUGGACCGUGACUGUACAAAGCACGUGUGAUGCACUGCAAGUUUACCUGUUUAAACUGUGAGUUAAAGAAGGUGUGCAGUUGCUUUGUAAACAGCCGACGCUCUAAAGCUACACCCAUCUAAUUGCUAGCUGUAUUAAAUCUAUCGUAUUGCUGUUUCUGCAUUAAAAAAGAAAAAAACCAACACACCUAUGUAAGCACGUCUAAGUACAAUGGAAAACCACUGUUUAACGCGUGGCAUGUGCGGGUGGUUUUUUUGGGGCGGGGGGGUGGGGUGUAUGACAAAAACCUGCGAGAGACACACGCACACACGCACAUGUCAUGUUUAGCGCUCACCUAAACCCAAAAAAGAAAAUCCACUCUUUAUUUUGCAGCAUUAGCAUUAGCUUCCAGCGCACAGCCUGAGCGCGCACCUCUGCUCUCACCGUCUGCUCCCUCUUCAACCGUGCGUGGCUGUCAUCAGCUUGCACAGGCUUUGCUCGUGCAAGUUUCCGCGACGGCUUACGAGAAGGCAGGCAAACAGACCCAGCAAGACGCGUAGUGCCUUCCUCUAUGGGCUCCGUCCAGCCUUUGUUAAAAUGA
Molecule: non-coding RNA, 1327 nt
Organism: Phalacrocorax carbo (great cormorant)
Lineage: Eukaryota; Metazoa; Chordata; Aves; Suliformes; Phalacrocoracidae
Source: RefSeq, a predicted model, not a curated record